RNA transcript from Gallus gallus (chicken), 2043 nucleotides. It is a transcript of the gene named centromere protein X, with no coding region annotated. The transcript is spliced from 6 exons. The record is from RefSeq and is marked validated. Lineage: Eukaryota; Metazoa; Chordata; Aves; Galliformes; Phasianidae.
GGUGGGGGCGGGCGGCGCCAUGGAGGAGCGGGAAGGCGGCUUCAGGAAGGAGACGGUGGAGCGGCUGCUGCGACUGCACUUUCGCGACGGGAGGACGCGAGUAAACGGCGACGCGCUGCUGCUGAUGGCGGAGCUGUUGAAGGUCUUCGUGCGAGAAGCGGCGGCGCGAGCAGCGCGACAGGCACAGGCGGAGGACCUGGAGAAGGUGGACAUCGAGCACGUGGAGAAGGUGCUGCCUCAGCUGCUUCUAGAUUUCUAGAGACGUGGUGAAGCAGAAGCGACAUGGCAGCCGCUGGCAGAAGAUCCCGACCUGGUGGCUCAGGCCAGCUCUAUGAAGAACAGCGUCACCUCCUUUCUCUGCCCUCUGCUUCUGCUUCCCGUUUCCUUUACCACGGCUCUGAUGGCAGAAGCUGCGUUUGAACAGAGGCUGCCACUCACUUGGUUUGCUGGGCUGUAACUGGUUUCCCUCUCGCUGCCUUCCUUCCCUAACGGUGUGCCUAACAGCAUGGUAAAGCUGCCGCUGCUUUCUCAGCUAAUGUGAGAAACAGGUGCUGCUUCGCACGCUGAGAGGCAUGGAAAGACUUAAUGGCUGGAAAUGUCAUCCAAACAUCAGGCUCUCCUCAUCUCAGCGGGCGGCAGUGGCAGAAACUUCGGGUCCGGCUCCAAGCCUGGCUAAUGAAUAGGUUGUUAACAGGAGCUCCGUUACAGGCUCUGGCCAAAAGCAGAACGAAAGGAAAAAGGACAGAAUAACAAACAGCAUGUGUGAGAAUCCCACAUCAUGGGACAGCUCGGCCCCUGGGCCUGCAGGGGGGCAGGAUGGGGGAGCUGUGAAAUAGGAAACCUCGCACAUGGAAGAAGGGACCCACACAACUGAACCGGCUUUGUUGGGAAGCGCGGAGCUCCCUGCAUGAAAAGCAGCUGACGGCCGUGUGUCCAAAGGGCUGCGCAGUGCUGCUGGCUGCCUGCAGCCUUUGAUUAGUAAUAAGGAGCGGUUUUUUUUCCAGCUGACAGCUGCAGCAGGCACAGCUCAAUGGGUCGCUGUAGUGCCUCAGCCGAGAACUAUCAAGGUCAUCACUCUGGAUGGAAGCCACGUGGAAAUUUCGACCAAACCCACAAUUUAAUACACAUUCUUUUUGGUGACAGUACCAGCCGAAGCAGUGCCCCAACCCUCUGAACUGUGGCCUCUCUGCCAAGAGAACUGUUUGUGCAGCUGUACAACGAAACCAGUGAAAUAAUUGACCUAGUUCGACUUUCAGCCCCACCACCAUACGGUAAAAAGGGCAACAGCAAAAAAUGCAGAUAAUACUACCUCUGAGUGCCCAACACCCCGAGGGACGAGUUAGAUACUACAGCAGGAGAGAGCAAAACCAAGCCAGAAUCUGCACACAUUGUUCUGCAGCGUGGUAGGAGUCUCUGUAGCAAGUGCCUUAGUGAAGAGCCUGCACACACCACAGCCUCUGGUCCCUUUACAAGAAUCCACCCCUACUGUUUUGUUUUUUUAACCUUAUCUGGAUUCCAAAUCAUCUCCCCCCAUUCUGACUCUUGGUGACACACAAAGGGAUCUAAAAAUGCUCGCUUCACUUCCCCUGCCCAUACCGCCAGCAUUCCUGACUGAAGAGGACAGCAGAUUUGGAUGUUAGUGGUAAAGUGGUAUUUUAAUAGCAGUGGCUAACUUCUUUUCUUGCACAGGGGAGUAAGACCUGAUCUAGUUGUUGGAGAUCCCCAUUUUCAUUCUAUUAAAACAGGAGUAGAUUAAACUUUGAUGCAUCACUGUGUCACAGAAGGGGCAUGCACAGGCAGAACUGAAGCAGUGCACACAGCUGCAUGGGCUCAGCUGCAGGCAGUCCAACCCUCACCAGAAACCUCUUCUGACUGGCACAGCCACUAUUAGGGUAUGUUUGCGUAAACCAGUUGUAUCUUGAUUUUAAAAUGAUUAGAAAGUUAACUCUGGGGAUCUGGUUAAACCCAGUAUUGGUUCUGCAGCUGUUGCUCAUCCCAGCCACAGAGAAGAAACUGGGCCAAGAUUUGUUAGUGCUUCUGUCA